RNAcentral lists this ribosomal RNA (254 nucleotides) under uncultured bacterium. RNAcentral's name for it is "partial 16S ribosomal RNA". It matches the Rfam family "Bacterial small subunit ribosomal RNA", at positions 524 to 776 of the family's 1533-position model. The record is from RNAcentral.
UACGGAAGGGGGCUAGCGUUGCUCGGAAUCACUGGGCGUAAAGCGCACGUAGGCGGCUUCUUAAGUCAGGGGUGAAAUCCUGGAGCUCAACUCCAGAACUGCCUUUGAUACUGAGGAGCUUGAGUCCGGGAGAGGUGAGUGGAACUGCGAGUGUAGAGGUGAAAUUCGUAGAUAUUCGCAAGAACACCAGUGGCGAAGGCGGCUCACUGGCCCGGUACUGACGCUGAGGUGCGAAAGCGUGGGGAGCAAACAGG